Molecule: ribosomal RNA, 402 nt
Filed under: uncultured bacterium
Lineage: Bacteria
Description: bacterial SSU rRNA
Rfam family: Bacterial small subunit ribosomal RNA
Source: RNAcentral
UUUUGGACAAUGGGGGAAACCCUGAUCCAGCAAUGCCGCGUGAGUGAAGAAGGCCUUCGGGUUGUAAAGCUCUUUUGUCAGGGAAGAAACACCGGCUCUAACACAGUCCGGGAAUGACGGUACCUGAAGAAUAAGCACCGGCUAACUACGUGCCAGCAGCCGCGGUAAUACGUAGGGUGCAAGCGUUAAUCGGAAUUACUGGGCGUAAAGCGUGCGCAGGCGGUUAUACAAGACAGGCGUGAAAUCCCCGGGCUUAACCUGGGAAUGGCGCCUGUGACUGUAUAGCUAGAGUGUGUCAGAGGGGGGUAGAAUUCCACGUGUAGCAGUGAGAUGCGUAGAUAUGUGGAGGAAUACCAAUGGCGAAGGCAGCCCCCUGGGAUAACACUGACGCUCAUGCAGAAA